RNAcentral lists this ribosomal RNA (874 nucleotides) under uncultured Enterobacteriaceae bacterium. RNAcentral's name for it is "bacterial SSU rRNA". It matches the Rfam family "Bacterial small subunit ribosomal RNA". Lineage: Bacteria; Pseudomonadati; Pseudomonadota; Gammaproteobacteria; Enterobacterales; Enterobacteriaceae. The record is from RNAcentral.
AUUGAACGCUGGCGGCAGGCCUAACACAUGCAAGUCGAACGGUAACAGGAAACAGCUUGCUGUUUCGCUGACGAGUGGCGGACGGGUGAGUAAUGUCUGGGAAACUGCCUGAUGGAGGGGGAUAACUACUGGAAACGGUAGCUAAUACCGCAUAACGUCGCAAGACCAAAGAGGGGGACCUUCGGGCCUCUUGCCAUCGGAUGUGCCCAGAUGGGAUUAGCUAGUAGGUGGGGUAACGGCUCACCUAGGCGACGAUCCCUAGCUGGUCUGAGAGGAUGACCAGCCACACUGGAACUGAGACACGGUCCAGACUCCUACGGGAGGCAGCAGUGGGGAAUAUUGCACAAUGGGCGCAAGCCUGAUGCAGCCAUGCCGCGUGUAUGAAGAAGGCCUUCGGGUUGUAAAGUACUUUCAGCGGGGAGGAAGGGAGUAAAGUUAAUACCUUUGCUCAUUGACGUUACCCGCAGAAGAAGCACCGGCUAACUCCGUGCCAGCAGCCGCGGUAAUACGGAGGGUGCAAGCGUUAAUCGGAAUUACUGGGCGUAAAGCGCACGCAGGCGGUUUUGUUAAGUCAGAUGUGAAAUCCCCGGGCUCAACCUGGCACCUGCAUCUGAUACUGGCAAGCUUUGAGUCUCGUAGAGGGGGGUAGAAAUCCCGUGUGUCGCCGUGAAAUGCGUACAGACCGCUAGGAAAUUCGGCGGCCAAAGCAGCUCCUCUGGGCGAAUACCGAUUCUCUGGCCCUCCUUCGUCGGGAGCUAAACAUGAUUUAAUACCCCUAGCAUCCACCGUCUAAUCCCUCCUCGCCCAUUCCCUCCUUAUAUUUCCUCACUUUUAAGAAAAAAAAACAAUACAUAUUUUUUCCCCCCCCAGCCGU